GCCAACGUCCAUACCACGUUGAACACACCGGUUCUCGUCCGAUCACCGAAGUUAAGCAACGUCGGGCGCGGUCAGUACUUGGAUGGGUGACCGCCUGGGAACACCGCGUGCCGUUGGUUUUU
RNAcentral lists this ribosomal RNA (122 nucleotides) under Heliconius melpomene (postman butterfly). The record is from RNAcentral. Lineage: Eukaryota; Metazoa; Arthropoda; Insecta; Lepidoptera; Nymphalidae.